GCGGCGUGCCUAACACAUGCAAGUCGAACGAGAAAGUGGAGCAAUCCAUAAGUAAAGUGGCGCACGGGUGAGUAACACGUGACUAACCUACCCUCGAGUGGGGAAUAACCUCAGGAAACCGGGGCUAACACCGCAUAAUAUCUACGGAUCAAAUGCGUAAGCAGCUUGAGGAGGGGGUCGCGGCUGAUUAGCUAGUUGGCGGGGUAAUGGCCCACCAAGGCAGUGAUCAGUAGCCGGCCUGAGAGGGCGCACGGCCACACUGGAACUGAAACACGGUCCAGACUCCUACGGGAGGCAGCAGUGGGGAAUUUUGCGCAAUGGGGGAAACCCUGACACAGCAACGCCGCGUGGAGGAUGACGCCCCUUGGGGUGUAAACUCCUUUCGAUCGGGACGAUUAUGACGGU
This 405-nucleotide ribosomal RNA is filed under the name uncultured bacterium. Its description in RNAcentral is "bacterial SSU rRNA". It matches the Rfam family "Bacterial small subunit ribosomal RNA", at positions 39 to 458 of the family's 1533-position model. The record is from RNAcentral.